Molecule: transfer RNA, 65 nt
Filed under: Doa sp. MJT-2014
Lineage: Eukaryota; Metazoa; Arthropoda; Insecta; Lepidoptera; Doidae
Description: tRNA-Glu
Rfam family: tRNA
About the family: Transfer RNA (tRNA) molecules are approximately 80 nucleotides in length. Their secondary structure includes four short double-helical elements and three loops (D, anti-codon, and T loops).
Source: RNAcentral
AUUUAUAUAGUUUAUUUAAAACAUUACCUUUUCAAGGUAAAAAUAUAUAACUUAUAUUAUAAAUA